This 638-nucleotide ribosomal RNA is filed under the name bacterium D15. Its description in RNAcentral is "bacterial SSU rRNA". It matches the Rfam family "Bacterial small subunit ribosomal RNA", at positions 38 to 661 of the family's 1533-position model. The record is from RNAcentral.
GGCGGCGUGCUAUACAUGCAGUCGAGCGAAUGGAUUAGAGCUUGCUCUUAUGAAGUUAGCGGCGGACGGGUGAGUAACACGUGGGUAACCUGCCCAUAAGACUGGGAUAACUCCGGGAAACCGGGGCUAAUACCGGAUAACAUUUUGAACCGCAUGGUUCGAAAUUGAAAGGCGGCUUCGGCUGUCACUUAUGGAUGGACCCGCGUCGCAUUAGCUAGUUGGUGAGGUAACGGCUCACCAAGGCAACGAUGCGUAGCCGACCUGAGAGGGUGAUCGGCCACACUGGGACUGAGACACGGCCCAGACUCCUACGGGAGGCAGCAGUAGGGAAUCUUCCGCAAUGGACGAAAGUCUGACGGAGCAACGCCGCGUGAGUGAUGAAGGCUUUCGGGUCGUAAAACUCUGUUGUUAGGGAAGAACAAGUGCUAGUUGAAUAAGCUGGCACCUUGACGGUACCUAACCAGAAAGCCACGGCUAACUACGUGCCAGCAGCCGCGGUAAUACGUAGGUGGCAAGCGUUAUCCGGAAUUAUUGGGCGUAAAGCGCGCGCAGGUGGUUUCUUAAGUCUGAUGUGAAAGCCCACGGUCAACCGUGGAGGGUCAUUGGAAACUGGGAGACUUGAGUGCAGAAGAGGAAAG